CCUACGGGAGGCAGCAGUGAGGAAUAUUGGUCAAUGGGCGGGAGCCUGAACCAGCCAAGUCGCGUGAGGGAAGACGGUCCUACGGAUUGUAAACCUCUUUUGCCGGGGAGCAACGGGGUCCUUGCGAGGGCCCAAUGAGAGUACCCGGAGAAAAAGCAUCGGCUAACUCCGUGCCAGCAGCCGCGGUAAUACGGAGGAUGCGAGCGUUAUCCGGAUUUAUUGGGUUUAAAGGGUGCGUAGGCGGGCUGUUAAGUCAGCGGUAAAAGCCCGGGGCUCAACCCCGGCGAGCCGUUGAAACUGGCUGUCUUGAGAUGUCGAGAGGUAUGCGGAAUGCGCAGUGUAGCGGUGAAAUGCUUAGAUAUUGCGCAGAACUCCGAUUGCGAAGGCAGCAUACCGGCGGCGAUCUGACGCUGAGGCACGAAAGCGUGGGUAUCGAACAGGAUUAGAUACCCGAGUAGUC
Molecule: ribosomal RNA, 460 nt
Filed under: uncultured bacterium
Lineage: Bacteria
Description: partial 16S ribosomal RNA
Rfam family: Bacterial small subunit ribosomal RNA
Source: RNAcentral